This is a long non-coding RNA of Homarus americanus (American lobster), 675 nucleotides long. RefSeq lists it as uncharacterized. Lineage: Eukaryota; Metazoa; Arthropoda; Malacostraca; Decapoda; Nephropidae. The transcript has 3 exons. The record is from RefSeq and is a predicted model, not a curated record.
UAUAGGUGACAGUAGUUAGUGGCCAUAUAGGUGACAGUAGUUAGUGGCCAUAUAGGUGACAGUAGUUAGUGGCCAUAUAGGUGACAGUAGUUAGUGGCCAUAUAGGUGACAGUAGUUAGUGGCCAUAUAGGUGACAGUAGUUAGUGGCCAUAUAGGUGACAGUAGUUAGUGGCCAUAUAGGUGACAGUAGUUAGUGGCCAUAUAGGUGACAGUAGUUAGUGGCCGUAUAGAUGACAGUAGUUAGUGGCCAUAUAGGUGACAGUAGUUAGUGGCCAUAUAGGUGACAGUAGUUAGUGGUCGUAUAGAUGACAGUAGUUAGUGGCCAUAUUGGUGACAGUACUUAGUGGCCAUAUACUGUAUAUGAGAGUAGUUAGUAACGCUCCACUUUUGUGGCAAUGUUAGAGUUAGAUCCUGUGAAUUAUUGUACGCGUGUAGUGGAUUUCUCCCCUACAAACGCUGUUUGUCGCUGCGUAGCCGACCCCGCGAAUUCCCCAGUGUAUGCCUCGUGGUCUGGGUCAACCAGCGCCGCCAUACAUCACGGAGGUCAACUACUAAGCGACAAACAGCGUUUGUUGGGGAGAAAUCCACUACACGCGCACACACUGUUUAAAUCGAAAGUCGAAAUGAUAAAUGCAAAUUUAUGUUCACACAAAUAUUAUCUUUGCUCACUCUCUC